UGUGUGUGUGUGUGUGUGUGUCUUAAACUAUGACUAUGAGUAGUUUAUUUUUAUUUUAAUUUGGAUUGCAAACUUAUUAUUACUUGAAUGGUAGUUAUUAUUAUGUUUACCUUUAUGUUAUUUGAAGUUAUCUCAUUUAUUUAUUUUUUACGCUUUGCCUCACUUAGGCCCGCGACUUGCGCCUAGGCCCUAAGAGCCUUGGAGCCUUGAUGAGCCUUGGCCCUUAAAUAACUAUGCAUUAAACAUAGAACAUUUGAAAACAUCAAUUCCAAACUUCAUCUAUCAUCCCUCAUCUUGAAUAAUCCCCUACAACCAAACUAACUACUAACAACAGCCGCCAACAUGGAAACUAAAUGUGAUAGCAAGCAAUCUUUACUGUCAUGAUCCUAUAGUUUGAAAUGAACCUUUGGAGGCACCAAAACUCCCCCCAAGUUUAGGCCAGCCUAACUCCAACAAAGGCAAAAUAUCAUCCAACCUUACAGAUUUAUCCUGAUAUUAGAAGAUCAAGUGAACACAAAUAUCUAUCAUAGUUCAAUGUAAACCCUUAUUAUGUCUAACCAAACAUAGGAUUCAUCAAGUGUUAUUCAAGCCCAAGUAAGAACUCCAUAGUAGACCUAGUCCAGUUCCUGGAAUUCAGGACUCAGAACCAAACCUCAAGUCCCCCAGUUUCAAUUCAAUCUGGUUUGAGCCAAUCCAACAGUUAAAAAAUUUUUUUCUUUUGAGAAAAAAUGCUGUUUGAAACAGACAGGACCAGCCCAGUUCCAGUCUAGCUCAAAGGAGAGAAAAAUGGUUUUUGACCCAGGUUAGACCAGGCCAGUUAUGGGCCCAAACCAAAAUGUGGUUGGGUCCACUCCACAGAUCUUUUAUACCACAUUGCACGAAUCUGGCUAACUUCAGAAUCAAAUAGAGGGA
This 912-nucleotide unclassified non-coding RNA is filed under the name Hevea brasiliensis (rubber tree). Lineage: Eukaryota; Viridiplantae; Streptophyta; Magnoliopsida; Malpighiales; Euphorbiaceae. The record is from RNAcentral.